UUUUUUUUUUUUUUUUUUUUUUUUUUUUUUUUUUUUUUUUUUUUUUUUUUUUUUUUGUUCACCGCAUUCUGUGAGAAUCCGUUGAGGUCACAACUGUGGCAGGGCUGAAACGUUGCACCUGCAAGGCAAAAA
This 132-nucleotide non-coding RNA is filed under the name Alexandrium minutum. The record is from RNAcentral. Lineage: Eukaryota; Dinophyceae; Gonyaulacales; Pyrocystaceae.